This 1124-nucleotide ribosomal RNA is filed under the name Salmonella enterica subsp. enterica serovar Alachua str. R6-377. RNAcentral's name for it is "partial large subunit ribosomal RNA". The record is from RNAcentral. Lineage: Bacteria; Pseudomonadati; Pseudomonadota; Gammaproteobacteria; Enterobacterales; Enterobacteriaceae.
CCGCCUUAUUCGGCCUACAAGGAACGUGCUUUCUCUAACCACCGCAAAAUGAAGGCAGAAAUCUGCGAUACAUCAUUAAGAUCCAAAACGGGUACCGCUACGGCAAGUGGAAUAUCACUGGCAACCGCAAUAACAUGCUCAUCAAGAAUUAAUUCUUCCUCGCUGUGCCCACAUCCCUGACGAAAAAGUAAGAUCUUCGCAACUGCCUCGUGUUUAAACCCUUCUACCAGCACCAUAUCUAGCUUUGAUGCAUCCAUCCGGCUCACCAGCCAUGCCAGAUCCAACUCUUCUUGCCCCGGCGUUUCAGUCAUUAACGCCCAGCGCUGCUGACUGGCAACCAGCGUCUGUGCCGCCCCGGCUUUACGUAAUUCGUAGCUAUCUUUACCCGGUUUAUCAACAUCCAUAUCAUGAUGGGUAUGCUUAAUCAGCCCUGGCCGAAUACCGUGCGCACAAAGUGCUGGGAUCAGUUUUUUCAGCAGUGUUGUUUUUCCCGUGCCGCUCCACGCGGCAAUGGCGAGUAGCGGUAUCAUGGUCUCUUUUGCCAUUGCGCGAGUUCCUCCGGCGUGUUGACGUUCACAAAUGCCUCCUUACAAUCGCUGAAAUCAACGGCGUGUCCGCCUACCUGGCGCAUAAAAAUCAUUACCCGCCGCUCGCCUGCUUGCAAAUAAGCUGUCAACUGGGGCUCAACGGCACGAUUAAUCAACGCGAUCGUUGGAUGAUCGCGCUCUCCAUCAUGAACCCAAACCACGGGUGCACCAUGACGCUGCGCUGCUAAACGAUCGACCAGGUUGUGGGGGAUACAGGGAUUGUCACAGGGACAAAACAGAAACCAGUCGCCUGCUACCUGCUGAAAAACGGAAAGCAUACCCGCCAGCGGACCGGGAAAGUCAGCAAUUGAAUCCGGAAUGACUUUCAGGCCGCUGGCCUGGUAGAUAUCCAGAUGGCGAUUAGCACUAAUGACGACCGUAGCAAGUUGUGGCGCGAGCGCGUCGGCAACGUGUCGCCAGAGCGGUUUCCCGCCCAGUUCAAGCAGACCUUUAUCCGCACCUCCCAUCCGCCGGGCUUUACCGCCUGCCAGCACCACGCCGGUUAUUACUUCAUCCAGAUUCACCGAUAUCGCCUCU